RNAcentral lists this unclassified non-coding RNA (348 nucleotides) under soil metagenome. Its description in RNAcentral is "partial contains 5.8S ribosomal RNA, internal transcribed spacer 2, and large subunit ribosomal RNA". The stretch from base 1 to 120 matches the Rfam family "5.8S ribosomal RNA", at positions 35 to 154 of the family's 154-position model. The record is from RNAcentral.
GAUGAAGAACGUAGCGAAAUGCGAUAAGUAAUGUGAAUUGCAGAAUUCAGUGAAUCAUCGAAUCUUUGAACGCACAUUGCGACCGCCAGUAUUCUGGCGGGCAUGCCUGUCUGAGCGUCAUUUCAACCCUCAUGCCCCUAGGGCGUGGUGUUGGGGAUCGGCCAAAGCCCGCGAGGGACGGCCGGCCCCUAAAUCUAGUGGCGGACCCGUCGUGGCCUCCUCUGCGAAGUAGUGAUAUUCCGCAUCGGAGAGCGAUGAGCCCCUGCCGUUAAACCCCCAACUUUCCAAGGUUGACCUCAGAUCAGGUAGGAAUACCCGCUGAACUUAAGCAUAUCAAUAAGCGGAGGA